Molecule: ribosomal RNA, 301 nt
Filed under: uncultured bacterium
Lineage: Bacteria
Description: partial 16S ribosomal RNA
Rfam family: Bacterial small subunit ribosomal RNA
Source: RNAcentral
CAGUAGCCGCGGGAAUACGAAGGGUGCAAGCGUUACUCGGAAUUACUGGGCGUAAAGCGUGCGUAGGUGGUGGUUUAAGUCCGUUGUGAAAGCCCUGGGCCCAACCUGGGAAUUGCAGUGGAUACUGGGUCACUAGAGCGUGGUAGAGGAUAGUGGAAUUUCCGGUGUAGCAGUGAAAUGCGUAGAGAUCGGAAGGAACAUCUGUGGCGAAGGCGACUAUCUGGGCCAACACUGACACUGAGGCACGAAAGCGUGGGGAGCAAACAGGAUUAGAUACCCGAGUAGUCCCUGUCUCUUAUAA